ACUCCUACGGGAGGCAGCAGUGGGGAAUUUUGGACAAUGGGGGAAACCCUGAUCCAGCCAUGCCGCGUGAGUGAAGAAGGCCUUCGGGUUGUAAAGCUCUUUCAGCCGGAACGAAACGGUCACGGUUAAUACCCGUGACUACUGACGGUACCGGAAGAAGAAGCACCGGCUAACUACGUGCCAGCAGCCGCGGUAAU
Molecule: ribosomal RNA, 197 nt
Filed under: uncultured Nitrosospira sp.
Lineage: Bacteria; Pseudomonadati; Pseudomonadota; Betaproteobacteria; Nitrosomonadales; Nitrosomonadaceae
Description: partial 16S ribosomal RNA
Rfam family: Bacterial small subunit ribosomal RNA
Source: RNAcentral